Molecule: transfer RNA, 72 nt
Filed under: Cavia porcellus (domestic guinea pig)
Lineage: Eukaryota; Metazoa; Chordata; Mammalia; Rodentia; Caviidae
Rfam family: tRNA
About the family: Transfer RNA (tRNA) molecules are approximately 80 nucleotides in length. Their secondary structure includes four short double-helical elements and three loops (D, anti-codon, and T loops). Further hydrogen bonds mediate the characteristic L-shaped molecular structure. tRNAs have two regions of fundamental functional importance: the anti-codon, which is responsible for specific mRNA codon recognition, and the 3' end, to which the tRNAs corresponding amino acid is attached (by aminoacyl-tRNA synthetases). tRNAs cope with the degeneracy of the genetic code in two manners: having more than one tRNA (with a specific anti-codon) for a particular amino acid; and 'wobble' base-pairing, i.e. permitting non-standard base-pairing at the 3rd anti-codon position.
Source: Rfam by way of RNAcentral
GAUGAUGUAGCUCAGUGAUAGAGUGCUUGCCUAGUGUACACAAGACCUUGGGUUCAAUCCCCAGUCUCAUUC